This 279-nucleotide unclassified non-coding RNA is filed under the name plant metagenome. Its description in RNAcentral is "partial contains small subunit ribosomal RNA, internal transcribed spacer 1, and 5.8S ribosomal RNA". The record is from RNAcentral.
UUUCCGUUGGUGAACCUGCGGAAGGAUCAUUAGUGAAUUCUAUAUCUCAUCGGCCCUCUUCGGCGUUUCUACCUUCUACUCCUAUCCCUCACCCCUGUGAACUGUCCCGCUGUCUUUAUCACGAACUCGAUUCGAGCGCCUCCCUACUUCUUACUAAUCUUAAAGUACUAAUCGUACUUUUAUUAUCAUCUCUUUAAACUCUCACCACCGGAUCUCUUGCCUCUCGCAUCGAUGACACACGCCUCAGCUCGGCUCACCACACGUCUGAACUCCAGCCAC